CCUUCCCGCGAUCCUGUGCUACUCCUUUCACCCCACGUUCGAAACCUUCUGGAGGAGAACAGAGCCACGCGAUAGCUAUUCCUAUUCCUGGCCCAUUAUCCUCCUUGUCCCGUCGCCUAGACCCCCACCCCCGGUCCCUCUCUCUUUCUCUCUCUCUCUCUCAUCGGUGCGUGGUCCUCACGGUGGUUGUUAUCGGCGAACGCGCUCCUCUUGAGCCGUGGUCAGGAGAUCGGGUGCAUCCCCACCCUCUCACGGCUCCUGCGACCGAAGGGACGGCCGGAGCACUCGUCCCCUUCUACUCCGACGGCCAAGCCACCGGGAUCCCGCGUGAAGUUCUACUCCGGCGGCCGGAUCACCUCGGGUUUGUGGAACACCGGAUCUGUCCAGCUCGAGGUCCUUGUCCAUGGAUCUGGCCAGGAAAAAUCAUUUUCUCCAUUGUUUCUGUCGGGACGGGAAAUCCUCUCUUUGACCUGCUCUAUGUAGUUGCUGGCAAUGAUUUUCAGAUUUGGCGCAUGGUAGCUAAAAUACACGGUAUAAUUUUGGUGUGGAUAUGUUGAUUUCAGUAGGGAACAUUUUCUGAGGGUGUUCAAGUAUAAUUGUUGGAUGUGUCACUGGAUUAUAGUAUUGUCGCUGGAUUUUUGCUUGGAUUUAGUUGUUGGUAUAAUGCACGCCCAUGGAUAAAUUAGUGUGUUGUGGAUUAUAUUAAAUUCAGUAGGGAUUCCCUGGUCUGAGGUGUUGUAGUACUAAAUGUUGGCUUUGUCACCCCCCAACGAGAUGAUAUUUUUGAUUGGAUUCAUUGUAGUCUGAACAGAGUUUUAGCUAAAUAGAGAGCUAGUGCACAAAGCAUGCAUAGUUUUGUUACCUGUGUGGAUUUAGUUGUCGGGUUAGUUGCUCCCGGGCUAUUUUAGUGCUGUGGAUUUGUCAAUGUGCAUAUGCCGAAUCUAGUAGGUGAAUACUAGGGACGAAUCUGGGUUGUUUAUUUUGUUUGGAGGUAUUUUUGUGGGAUUUUCACCGCUUAGCAGCAUGAUUAUUUGUGAACUUGUAAGAAAUUGGUAAGGUAGUUAUCAAAUAAUUAAAUCUAAACUUGUUUGUCAUCAACCCCAUAGAUUGAAAUCUGUUUUGCAGUUUAUCAAUUUGAUUAGUUAAGUCUACAUAGAGUUUUUGUUCAUUGUUUUCUCCAUCGUCUCAUUAACUGAAUAAUGAUGCGUGAUUGCUCGUCUGUUCAAUUUGAUUAGAUCUCUCGUUAUCAUUAUGGAUUUAUGAUGAGCCAUAUUUUUUUCCAACUUCCUCAGUAGUGCUAAUAAAUGUAACACGAGUGACCAUUAGGGUUUAGGGUUCAGGAUGUUUCUCUUUAUUUUGUUGGUUAAGAGACUAGAAAUCAUGCAGCCUUAAUACUAAACUGUAUGCAGAUUGUGUCUAUUUGAGCUCCAAGCUUUUUUUAGCCACCUCAUUUUUAACUCGUCUUCUCAUUAUGUCUUCGUGGUGAGCAAUAAUGUGUUUUCCCACUUUUCACUCUAGUUGUUAAUGAUCGUGACACCAAUUCACAUGCAUUAUGGCAGGGUACAGGCUAUUUCUUUUUGGUUCUUUUGAUUAUCAGUCCUAAAAUGGUGUGGCCUGGACCAAAACCUUAUUUAAAUUCUGUUUUAUCUAAGGAGUUAUAUUAUCAAUGUGAUUUGUUUGUAAUGAGCUGAAGGUUUUCUUCGGUUCUGAUUAUCCCUUGGGUAGUUAUCUACAUGUGCUUUCUUUUGUUAAUAAGGAACAAGACAGUAUGAUCCACCAGAUUAAGCGUAUGAGUUCUAUGAUUUGUAGUCCAUGGAAUGUGAUUUUUGGGACUUGUUUCACCGAGAGCCGAUUUAAUGUUCAGAGAAAGAAAUGUUUGCAAGA
Aegilops tauschii subsp. strangulata is the source of this 1884-nucleotide long non-coding RNA. RefSeq lists it as uncharacterized. NCBI's taxonomy places the organism in Eukaryota, Viridiplantae, Streptophyta, Magnoliopsida, Poales, Poaceae. The record is from RefSeq and is a predicted model, not a curated record.